RNAcentral lists this transfer RNA (72 nucleotides) under Ictidomys tridecemlineatus (thirteen-lined ground squirrel). RNAcentral's name for it is "Spermophilus tridecemlineatus (thirteen-lined ground squirrel) tRNA". It matches the Rfam family "tRNA". Rfam says of the family: Transfer RNA (tRNA) molecules are approximately 80 nucleotides in length. Their secondary structure includes four short double-helical elements and three loops (D, anti-codon, and T loops). Further hydrogen bonds mediate the characteristic L-shaped molecular structure. tRNAs have two regions of fundamental functional importance: the anti-codon, which is responsible for specific mRNA codon recognition, and the 3' end, to which the tRNAs corresponding amino acid is attached (by aminoacyl-tRNA synthetases). tRNAs cope with the degeneracy of the genetic code in two manners: having more than one tRNA (with a specific anti-codon) for a particular amino acid; and 'wobble' base-pairing, i.e. permitting non-standard base-pairing at the 3rd anti-codon position. The record is from Rfam by way of RNAcentral. Lineage: Eukaryota; Metazoa; Chordata; Mammalia; Rodentia; Sciuridae.
GGAGUUGUAGCUCAGUAGUAGAGCACUUGCCUAGCAUGUGUGAGGCACUAGGUUCAAUUCUCAGCACCGCUU